UUAACAUGAGAGUUUGAUCCUGGCUCAGGACGAACGCUGGCGGCGUGCCUAACACAUGCAAGUCGAGCGAAGUUUAAUUGGUAGCGACUUCGGUCAAAACCGAUUAAACUUAGCGGCGGACGGGUGAGUAACACGUAGGCAACCUACCCAUAACACGGGGAUAGCUUCGGGAAACCGGAGGUAAUACCCGAUACCUUUAC
RNAcentral lists this ribosomal RNA (200 nucleotides) under Thermoanaerobacteraceae bacterium. RNAcentral's name for it is "partial 16S ribosomal RNA". It matches the Rfam family "Bacterial small subunit ribosomal RNA", at positions 1 to 182 of the family's 1533-position model. The record is from RNAcentral. Lineage: Bacteria; Bacillati; Bacillota; Clostridia; Thermoanaerobacterales; Thermoanaerobacteraceae.